GGCGCAAAUUUUUUCGGCCGUUCGUUGCCUCAUCAACGUCCAGGCGUUCAGCGAAGCAUCCUAUUCUUUUCUGUUCUUUCUGCGACGCCCACGAAGGUUCCAGACUGUAGAAGCCCCCAACCCCGCUUGGAGCUCCAUUUGCCCCACCACGGUGCCAGCAACUCCACCCCCUGCCCCCCCGCCGGCAGAUCCCCCACCCCGCCAGGAGCUCUGCCCAGGCCUACCACGGUGCCAGCAACUCCACCACCCCCUCCCUCGCCAUUGGCGGUUCCCCCACCCCGCUAGGAGCACCGCCCAGGCGGAUGACUUCACCUUCGAAGCCCCUGCCACGCAGCCAGUGUCAAGAUUACCCCCACCUACACCCCUCGCCAGAGGACCGUCCCCUUGAUGUCGGACGGCCAACGGAUUCACCUCCCACGCCCUCCACGAGCCUGAUAAAUCGUCGGCGCAAAUUUUUUCGGCCGUUCGUUGCCUCAUCAACGUCCAGGCGUUCAGCGAAGCAUCCUAUUCUUUUCUGUUCUUUCUGCGACGCCCACGAAGGUUCCAGACUGUAGAAGCCCCCAACCCCGCUUGGAGCUCCAUUUGCCCCACCACGGUGCCAGCAACUCCACCCCCUGCCCCCCCGCCGGCAGAUCCCCCACCCCGCCAGGAGCUCUGCCCAGGCCUACCACGGUGCCAGCAACUCCACCACCCCCUCCCUCGCCAUUGGCGGUUCCCCCACCCCGCUAGGAGCACCGCCCAGGCGGAUGACUUCACCUUCGAAGCCCCUGCCACGCAGCCAGUGUCAAGAUUACCCCCACCUACACCCCUCGCCAGAGGACCGUCCCCUUGAUGUCGGACGGCCAACGGAUUCACCUCCCACGCCCUCCACGAGCCUGAUAAAUCAAGAAUUUACUAGAAUUUCUACACGCCCAUGAAUGAUUUUAUUGUUGCUACUGAAUGAUGUAAUAGAUUGAGUAUACUGUUGUGUUUGCAGGGAUGCUAAAGGUCGCGGCAAGUGGCUCUACUGCCACUCCACUCUGAGGCGGUGCCAGCGUUGAUGACCACCUCUCGGCCUACUACUUCUUCUCCAGCAUGGGUCUAGUCCAAGUCGCGAUACGGGGUUUGGACAUUUUGGGCUAGGUUCCUUCCCAACUCUGUAGUGUAGCCUCUCCGCGGCAUGGUCCAGCUCUGCUCCUUUCCCUUGGUUCUGAUGGCGUGGCUGGCUGUUGCCCUUUGCAGGUUGUUCAGCAUGGGUCUAGUGAAUGAAGGCAUCGACAUGGAGGAGGGAAACCUGGAGAUAGGCAUAGCAAUUCUUUUGCAUGAUUAUUAGUUUUAUUUUAUUAAUCUAUGCUAGAUCUCAAAUACACGCAAUCCAAUCUUGAAGAUCUGGUUAAAAAAGUAUGCUGCUUGUACCAUAAACUGUGUGCGACGCAAAUUUCAGUAAGUGCAAUUUGUUGAUGUAUUGUGAUGGUAGACCGACCUUCCUUCUGCAGAGUGGAACCAAAGGUAUUUGUUGAGUUCUUUGGCAUUGCCAUAUAGUAGAUUUGACCGGGAAGCUUGCAGGUCUACUAUAUGUCCUGGUUUUCGUAUCUGCAUGUCUUCAUGUUCAAAAUGGUGAUUCGGUUUAUAUGAGAGUAUUGUCUUAGUGCUAGUGUGGAUAACAUCAAGAUGGUGUACCAUGUACGGUGAUGACUUUGCUGAACUUAGUACUUUCAAAUGUGUGACAAGGAAGGAAAGUAGCAAGCUGAAAAGGAAGAACCAAGAUAAAAUGUUUGAUGCAUAUAUCCUGCAUGGGUCUGCAAUACAAUCUACAACACACUAGAUUAUAUGUGAAGGUCAGAUUUUU
RNAcentral lists this long non-coding RNA (1828 nucleotides) under Zea mays. RNAcentral describes it as "long non-coding RNA (ZMAY_LNC001445)". The record is from RNAcentral. Lineage: Eukaryota; Viridiplantae; Streptophyta; Magnoliopsida; Poales; Poaceae.